Molecule: long non-coding RNA, 821 nt
Organism: Carassius carassius (crucian carp)
Lineage: Eukaryota; Metazoa; Chordata; Actinopteri; Cypriniformes; Cyprinidae
Exons: 4
Source: RefSeq, a predicted model, not a curated record
CCAGCAGGGGGCGGUUUGCGUUGAAAUAAACAGAACGGUGGCAACUGCAGCAGCAGAGUAAUAACGCUAUUCCACGUUGAUUGCAUGAGGUGAGUAAAAGUGGUUGUGUAAAUAUCUUAUAAUAUUAAAUGCGAUGUUCGAUCAUUUAUUUAUCCAUUGUACGUUCAAUUUGAAUAAUUAUUGUUAAUAAUUGUUAUAAAUUGCUCAUUUUAUUGUUCUUUGUGGAUUGUAACAGUACACUCUGUACAUGGCUUUAGUUCUUAGGUUUGAUUUUACAGAGGAUGACAUGAUCAGGAGGUGGUGGUGUUCUGUUCUCCUGGACAGCUUCACUCCGCAAAUAGCUCAACCACUGAGGGGAGGAACUUCACCAUUCAAAAGACAGUGUCUUCAGGCAGAGUCCAGCAAAGCAGCUUCCCUUGGAAAUCCUCAGGGAAGUUAUUUUGUCAGCGGGUGACUCUGCAUAUUUGACUCUUUCUCUGGUUUGCAGAUGGUUUAGGGAUGUGGUCACUCAAGAAGUUUUCCGGAAAGCAGCACACUUUGCCUGGCUAGACAGUAAGAUUUCCCCCUGUUUAAUGCUCAUUCUCCAAUUGAACUUUGUAGUAUGAGGCUGUUAAACUUUUUAUUAUUAUUAUUAUUAUCUUUCCUGUAUUUUGUCUUUACACUAUAAAUUGUGGCCAACUGGAAGAAUUGUCCUCCUGUCUACCAGAACGAGUUCAGACGGAUGAACAGCAUCAGGGAAUGCUUGCAGUGCAGAGCCCUUUUCAAGUUUAACCCACCAGGGUACAGGGAAGAGGACGGCGUGGUGAUCUUGUGGGCUUUUG